CCCUCUCCAUCUCAACCUUAGACAAACAAGACAAACCCUAUAGACACCAACAGUCGUUCCCCCUCCUUUUGAGAGUUCAAGAUCUCUCUCAAUCUUGGAGAGCAAGCCUACUGCCGCCCCAACCUUCCCCCAAAACACAAUUCCUUAGCUUUGAUCUUUUUGUUUCAUACACAUUUGGACAUUCACAUACUCCCAUAUAUUCACUCUAACAUAUGGGAGAAUCUGGAGAUUUGGACAGAAGUUAAUAAAGCAAAGGUGAGGCUUGAGGAGUACAUUUUGGCAGUUCUUUCCUUUUUUUAAAAAAAAAAACUCGAAAAAAUUUAAAAAAAAAUACAUAUCUCCACCUCUUCACUUUUCGAUUCUGAAUUUUGUCCAAGGAUGAAAUUUGAUUGAAAUAUGGGUCUGAAUCCGUAAUUGGUUGAGUUUUCCCGGCGCCGUUUGAGUGUUAUUACUGAUCUGCGGUUCUAUUUGAAUUCAAUAGCUGGUUCUAAUCGAAAUUUUGGAGUCAAAUAUAGAGUAUCGACUGAUUACUUCUACUACUAUUAAGGAAAUAUUCACUGGAACAGGUUCAUUCCUCCCCUCUGUUAUUUCUUUACUUAUUCAUUUGCUGUAUUUAUGGUGAAUUGAGGUCCAUUUAUCUUUCCUUUCCUAAUUUGGUACUACUUUACUCCUUACUUUAUCAAUUUCUAUGAUGUACUUAAUUGUGCUUAGUUCGUUUAUUGCUUAACAUAAAUGUCCAGUUAUAAGCUAUUUGUUUGUAUAAUUCUUAAAGUGUGUUUGUUGGGGGUGAGAACGUUUGUGCAGAAAAGUAUUCCGAAAUCAACGAUUGGUAAAUUCAGUAACAUGGAUUAUUAAAGCAAAUGAUCGAGAGAUAUCACACGUACAUAAUAGGUGUUGAACUUGGUUUAAUUAGCAAGGGUAAAUUAUUUCCUUCAUGUUAGAAAAGUCAAAUGACUUUGGAUAUUUAAUAAAUUUUACAUCAUUUCAUCUUUUUAAUCAAGAAUCCCUAGGAGCAUGCUAGGCCGACCACACUUGGGUAGGCAAGUGUUAGGAUUUUUGUUUGUUUUGAGGCGAGAGGUCGUUCCCUUAGUUAAAUUUAUACGGGAAUGCCCCGAAUGAGUUGUAUAUAUUUUAUCCGAGGUAUGCCCCGAAGUGAAGGUAAAUGGAGGCCAAAAGUAGAAAAUUGUAGUAUUUUUAUUUUAUUUUCAUUUUUCUUUUUCUUUUAUUUAGGUGGGGACGACCUCGAGCUUCUUAUGUGCUUAUUUUCCUUUUUUUGUAUUUUCUACCUCAAUUGAAUAUUUUAAAAUCCGACUAGAUCAAGUAUGCAACCGUGCUAGUUACGGGACUUGGGGAGUGCCUAACGCCUUCUCCCCGAGUAAAAUAAACCCCCUUACCCGAACUCUGGUGCAGACUUAGUUUUGGAGUCAAAAGUAUUUUAAAAGGAAAAUUAUUUUAAAAACGGUGACCUGGCACACUGAAACUAAUGUCAGGUGACGACUCUGAGUUAUUUCCUAUUGAACACAAUUUUGUCACUUUUUAAUUAAAACCCCUUUUGAGCUUUGCGAAAUCUUUUUAUUUAUUUAAGAGGUUAGUGAGGAUGUAAAAAAAGGGGCGUGACACCAACAAAAAAAUUAGUGAUGAUGAUCACAAAUUUUCAAUGCAAGUUCGUUGGAAGUUUCUAUAAUCAACUACAUACUUAGGAUAAUUUCAUAUGAUAGGGUCUGAGGAGGGUAGAGUGUACACAGACCUUAUGCUUACCUUGUGAAGAUACAGAGGUUAUUUUCAAUAGACACCCUCGAUUUAGGAAAGCAUAAGGAAUACAUUAAUGAAAAGCAAGACAUGAUGGAUAGCACCGAGAAGCCAUGUACGUAAAAGAGGAUAAAAAUAGCAAGAUAGAUAGAUGACCAAAAUGGAAGAAUGACAAGUAGUCAUAGAAACCCAUUACCAACAGAAUGUGAUAGUACGUACAAAUACUACUGGUAUGAACAAUCUAGACCACCUAACCUACUACUUUAUUUCUCGAUCUCUAUACCUCCCUAUCAAGGGUCAUGUCCUCGGCCAGCUGUAGUUGCGUCAUGUCAUGCCUCACCUCUCUCCAAUUAUUCUUCGGUCUACCUCUACCUUUCCUUAGGCCCUCCAAUGUCAAUCUCUCACAACUCUUCACCAGGGUAUAUAUGCUUCUCCUCCUCACAUGUUCAAAUAACCUAAGCUUCGCUUCCCAUAUCUUGUCCUCAAUAGGGGCCACACCCACCUUGUUGCGAAUAUCCUCAUUCCUAAUCCUAUCUAACCUAGUGCCCGCACAUCCAUCUCAACAUUUUCAUCUCUGCUACCUUCAUCUUCUAGACAUGGGCGCUCUUGACUGGCGAACACUCAUCAACAUACAACAUAGUAGGUUUGACCACCACUCUGUAAAACUUACCUUUAUGUUUUGGUGGUACCUUUUUGUCACACAAAAUGCCAUAAGCGAGUCUCCAUUUCAUCUAUCCCACCAAAAUACGAUAUGUGACAUCUUCAUUAAUCUCCCCAUCCCCUUGAAUAAUACACCAAAGGUACUUAAAACUUCCUCUCCUAGGGAUGACGUGUGAAUCUAGCCUCACCUCCCCUUCCACUCCCUGAGUCACACCACUGAACUUUCAUUCCAAGUAUUCUGUCAUGGUCCUACUCAACUUCAAACCUUUAGACUCUAGGGUCUGCAUCCACACCUCCAACUUUGUGCAAACACCAUCUCGUGUCUCGUCAAUUCAUAUAAUAUCAUCUGAAAAUAACAUGCACCAUGACAACUCCCAUCGGAUGUGGCACGUCAGCACAUCAAUUGCUAGGGCAAACAAAAAGGCCUGAGUGUCGACCCCUAGUGCAACCCCACCAUAAUCGAAAAUGGUCUGAGUUCCCUUCCACUGUCAUCAACUAGGUCUUCGCUCUAUCAUACAUGUCCUUAAUUGUCCUAAUGUAGGAAGCAUGUACUUCUCUAGCCUUUAAAUAUCUCCGUAAAACCUUCUUGAGGACUUUAUCGUAAGCCUUUUCUAAGUCGAUGAACUCCAUAUACAAGUCCCUCUUCCUCUCCAUAUACCGCUCCAUCAAUCUCCUAACAAGGUGAAUGCUUCUGUAAUCGGACUCCCCAGCAUAAACCCAAAUUGGUUGUCAAAAAUUGACAUAUUUCUCCUCGCCCUUAGCUCUGCCAGCCUCUCCCAAUCUUUCAUAGUAUGUCUAAGUAGCUUGAUACCCCGAUAAUUGUUACAAAUUUGGAUAUCACUCUUGGUCUUGUAUAAAGGAACCAUUGUUCUCCACCUCCACUCUUCGGGCAUCUUCUUUGUCUUAAAAAUGAGAUUAAAUAACCUAGUGAGACACUCCAAGCCCGCCCUGCCCCUACUGUUCCAAAACUCCACUUGGAUUUUAUUCUGCCCGGUCGCUUUGCCCUUGCUCAUCUUACGCAUAGAGCAUUCGACCUCCUCAACUUUAAUCCGCCUACAAUACCUAAAGUUACAACGACUCUUGGAGAGUUCCAAAUCACCCAAUAUAAUAUUCAUACGCCCCUCAAGAGAGUAUGGAAGCAAGUCUGCCACCUUCGAUGGAUAUGCCCCUCAUCUAACAAAACUCUACUUUCUUCGUCCUUGAUGUACUUAACUUGGUCCAAGUCUCAAGCCUUCCUUUUUCUCACCUUGGCUAGCCUGAAGAGCCUCUUAUUCCCCCCUCCCCCCGCCCUUGAGUUCUUCAUACAAAUGACCAAAUAUUGCAGUCUUAGCCGUCGUGACUGCUAGUUUCACCUCAUUCUUCACAACUUAUGCCAAUCCUUAUUUGUCCUCUUCUAUUCCUCAUCUACACUAUUCAUUAGAUUUAGAUACGCCGCUUUAUUGGUUUCCACUCUGCCUUGAACCUCUCCAUUCCACCACCAGUCUUUUUUGUGACUACUAGAGUAGCCAUUUGACACCCCUAAUACAUCUUUAUCAGUUUUCUUAAUACACUAAGCAGUCGUGGUCCACAUAACUCUCGUGUCCCCAUUACUCCUCCAAGCCCCCAUACUUAACAGCUUAACCCUCAACUCCUGCAAUUUGUCUUCCGUCAUGUCUCAUCAAUCGAUUCUAUGUUGGCCAUAUACAACUUUAUUCCUCCUCUUUUUUGUGAUCUCAAGGUCUAUGACCAGUAUCCUAUGAAGGGUCGAGAGGUUCUCACUCGAGAUGACUGGUAUUUUGUUUGUUUGCACUGUUUUAGUAUUUAAUUAUGCACCUAAAUCCUUAGUAUUCUAUAGAGGGCUUUCUUUAAGGAAGCCACUAAUUAUAGCCAUGUUGGAUGUUGUCCGAAAAAACUUGCCAAUGGACGUUAUUGAAUAUCUGGGUGAACUUUCUGAUGGCCAUUGGCCGAUAAUGUGGUUCGUCGAUAAAUUAGUGAAACUAACAAGAAAAUUAGUGAUGAUGAUCACAAAUUUUCAAUGCAAGUUUGUUGGAAGUUUCUAUAAUACAACUACAUACUUAGGAUAAUCUCAUAUAAUAAGGUCUGAGGAGGGUAGAGUAUACGCAGACCUUACGCUUACCUUGUGAAGAUAGAGAGGUUGUUUUCAAUAGACAUCCUUGGUUUAGGAAGGCAUAAGCAACACAUCAAUGAAAAGAAAGACAAGAGGGAUAGCACCGAGAAGCCAUGUACGUAAAAGAAGCAUAAAAAUAGCAAGAUAGUAAGAUGACCAAAAUGGAAGAAUGACAAGUAGUCAUAGAAACCCAUUACCAACAGAAUGUGAUAGUACGUACAAAUACUACCAGUAUGAACAAUCUAGACCACCUAACCUACUACUUUAUUUCUCGAUCUCUACACCUUCCUCUCAAGGGUCAUGUCCUCGCCAGCUGUAGUUGCGCCAUGUUAUGCCUCACCUCUCCCCAUUUAUUCUUCGGUCUACCUCUACCUUUCCUUAGGCCCUCCAACGUCAAUCUCUCACAACUCUUCACCGGGGUAUAUAUGCUUCUCCUCCUCACAUGUUCAAAUAACCUAAGCCUCGCUUCCCAUAUCUUGUCCUCAAUUGGGUCCACACCCACCUUGUUGCGAAUAUCCUCAUUCCUAAUCAUAUCUAACCUAGUGCCCGCACAUCCAUCUCAACAUUUUCAUCUUUGCUACCUUCAUAUUCUAGACAUGGGCACUCUUGACUGGCGAACACUCAGCAACAUACAACAUAGUCGGUUUUACCACCACUCUGUAGAACUUACCUUUAUGUUUUGAUGGCACCUUUUUGUCACACAAAAUGCCAUAACCGAGUCUUUAUUUCAUCUAUCCCGCCGAAAUACGAUAUGUGACAUCUUUAUUAAUCUCCCCAUCCCUUGAAUAAUACACCAAAGGUACUUAAAACUUCCUCUCCUAGGGAUGACGUGUGAAUCUAGCCUCACCUCCCCUUCCACUCCCUGAGUCACACCACUGAACUUUCAUUCCAAGUUUUCUGUCAUGGUCCUACUCAACUUCAAACCUUUAGACUCUAGGGUCUGCAUCCACACCUCCAACUUUGUGCAAACACCAUCUCGUGUCUCAUCAAUUCAUAUAAUAUCAUCUGAAAAUAACACGCACCAUGACAACUCCCAUCGGAUGUGGCGCGUUAGCAUAUCAAUUGCUAGGGCAAACAAAAAGGCAUGAGUGUCGACCCCUAGUGCAACCCCACCUUGAUCGAAAAUGGUUUGAGUUCCCUUCCACUAUCGUCAACUAGGUCUUCGCUCUAUCAUACAUAUCCUUAAUUGUCCUAAUGUAGGAAGCAUGUACAUCUCUAGCCUCUAAAUAUCUCUGUAAAACCUUUUUGAGGACUUUAUCGUAAGCCUUUUCUAAGUUGAUGAACUCCAUAUGCAAGUCCCUCUUCCUCUCCCUAUACCGCUCCAUCAAUCUCCUAACAAGGUGAAUGCUUCUGUAAUCGGACUCCCCAACAUAAACCCAAAUUUGUUGUCAAAAAUUGACAUAUUUCUCCUCGCCCUUAGCUCCGCCAGCCUCUCCCAAUCUUUCAUAGUAUGUCUAAGUAGCUUGAUACCCCGAUAAUUGCUGCAAAUUUGGAUAUCACUCGUGGUCUUGUAUAAAGGAACCAUUGUUCUCGACCUCCACUCUUCGGGCAUCUUCUUCGUCUUAAAAAUGACAUUAAAUAACCUAGUGAGACACUCCAAGCCCGCCCUGCCCCUACAAUUGAUAACUAGGGAUUUUGCCGCAUUUCAUGCUCCUUCUUGCUUACGCUUUGAUUAUAAAUUCAUACAAAAUAGUCCCUAAAGGCUCAUAAGUUGUGCUUGAUUGCAGGGUUGAUCAACAAAGUGACGAGAUAUCAAAGAUCGGCUCAAAAGGAGUGAAACCUGCACAAGUACCAAAGACAAGACAAACUCAGGACAAACAGGCCUUGUGCGGCCGCAGUACACUUUGUGCGGUCCGCACUAGGGAGAUUUAGAGACUUGGAUUUGAAGGAAUCAAAGUAGUUCGGCGACAAUAGAUAUUGUGCGGACCACACUGCAAACACCGUGGCCGCACCACCAUUUCAUGCGGUCCUCAGAAGCAAUGUUCAGAGAGAUGUCAAGCGCCAGGGUUCAAGCCUGUGCAGUCCGUAGUCCAUUCUGCGCGGACCACAUUGGAAGCCUCGACGGCCGCGACCCAUUCUGCGUGGUCCGUGGAGCCUGGGUUCAGAGAGUUGGAAUUGCAGAGUCAAGAGCCUAGUGAGGCCGCACACCAUUUUGUGCAGUCCACACUGAUCCCGCAGGGGCAUUUUUGUCCAAUUUUUCCAAAUUAGUAUAAAUAGAAAUUUUUUUCCAUUUUUAGGGCAUCGGAUAUUAUCAGCUAUUUUCUGAACUGAGCUGCGCUCGUGAGAAGACUAUCUGUAGCUAUUUUGGGCAUUUUAACUUACUUUUAACGAUAGAAUCUUUGUAUUUACUUUAGUGUUUAAUUAAUAUGCUUUUAU
This 6892-nucleotide long non-coding RNA is filed under the name Nicotiana tabacum (common tobacco). RNAcentral describes it as "long non-coding RNA (NTAB_LNC018208)". The record is from RNAcentral. Lineage: Eukaryota; Viridiplantae; Streptophyta; Magnoliopsida; Solanales; Solanaceae.